RNAcentral lists this long non-coding RNA (431 nucleotides) under Capsella rubella. RNAcentral describes it as "long non-coding RNA (CRUB_LNC001119)". The record is from RNAcentral. Lineage: Eukaryota; Viridiplantae; Streptophyta; Magnoliopsida; Brassicales; Brassicaceae.
UUACUUUUUUUCCCCUUCAGAGUUUGUGUCAGAAACUAACUUAGUAUUAUUUGGCUCUCAAUCACGUUUUCCAUCCGAUAUCUGGGAAAAAAAAUAAUUAAAAGGAAAUCACAAUACAAUCUUGAAUUUGGAAAUAUGUAAGCGACUUUGCUUAAAAUAAUCACCGGAUUUUUGUGUAAUAAUUACUAGUAUGAUUUAAUAUGGCAAUUAAUCGAUCAUGGAAAUUGUACAAAAGAAAUACAACUUACGAAAUGAAGUAAAACCAUAAGAAAUAUGGAAACAAGACGAAACGUGCAUAUGGAACAAGUGGCAAAAUCAAUGGGUCAGAAGUGCGUUCAAAGGCGGGGGGAUGCGCCGAAACGGUGACGUUUACGUGUAGUUGACAGAGUAGAGUGAACUGGGUUUGAUGUUGAGAGAAUUAAUAAGAGAGC